UGUAUUCCAAAAGUGAGAGGAGGCAAGGGACUCCGUGAUAUACAUAGUUUCAACUAGGCAAUGCUGGCCAAGCAAUGUUGAAGACUUAUUGAUAACUAUGGUUCUUUGUUUGCAUGAAUGUUAAGAGCAAGGUAUUACCCUACAUGAGACAUCUUGAACUAUUAACUGAAGAAGGGGUCGUCUUAUGUAUGGAAAAGUAUUUGGGCCGGCAUCUAAACGUUCAACAAGGGAUGUAUUUGGAGAGUAGGAAAUGGAGAAAAGAUCAAUAUUUGGACAUGCUGCUAGAUUCCGAACAGUGCUUCAAAGAAAAUUAUUACAGUUCGGAGAAACCAAAUACUCAUGAAAGUUGGAGAGUUAAUUGAUCCAAUAAAGGGAGAGUGGCACAAGAUGCUAGUCUGGGAAAAUUUCUAGCCAAUUGAUGCAGAUCGCAUACUUAAGAUUUCGUUAUUUCAUGAGGAGAUGAACGAUUAUAUAGCAUGGCAUCUCACAAAGAGUGGAGUUUUUUUCGGUACGUUUGGCUUAUUACAAGCAAUGCGAAGCAAACUAUGGUCAAGAGAAGACUGGGUUGGCUCGCUACUCCACGACAUCCCAUCUAGUUUGGAAGAAAUGAUGGAAUAUGAAAGUAGCAGCCAAAGUGAAAAUCUUCAUAUGGAGGUGUCUUCACAAUGCCAUUCCGUGCUACUAUGUUCUUAUGAAUCGCCACAUCGGACAAGUUUCUCAAUGCCUUCUCUGUCAAGCCGGUGUGGAACUGUUGGUGCAAUAUCUGCCUACCUUGUGUUUUGGAGAUUGUUGACAGAAACAGGUAUGGACUGA
RNAcentral lists this ribosomal RNA (813 nucleotides) under Triticum aestivum (bread wheat). RNAcentral's name for it is "partial small subunit ribosomal RNA". The record is from RNAcentral. Lineage: Eukaryota; Viridiplantae; Streptophyta; Magnoliopsida; Poales; Poaceae.